This 73-nucleotide transfer RNA is filed under the name Candidatus Falkowbacteria bacterium RIFOXYA2_FULL_47_9. Its description in RNAcentral is "tRNA-Lys". It matches the Rfam family "tRNA". From Rfam's summary of the family: Transfer RNA (tRNA) molecules are approximately 80 nucleotides in length. Their secondary structure includes four short double-helical elements and three loops (D, anti-codon, and T loops). RNAcentral also lists the same sequence under 1 other name. The record is from RNAcentral. Lineage: Bacteria; Candidatus Falkowiibacteriota.
GCCCCGUUAGCUCAGCUGGUAGAGCAGUUGCCUCUUAAGCAAACGGUCGUAGGUUCGAAUCCUGCACGGGGCA